This 450-nucleotide ribosomal RNA is filed under the name uncultured bacterium. RNAcentral describes it as "partial 16S ribosomal RNA". It matches the Rfam family "Bacterial small subunit ribosomal RNA", at positions 354 to 796 of the family's 1533-position model. The record is from RNAcentral.
GUGGGGAAUAUUGGACAAUGGGCGAAAGCCUGAUCCAGCCAUGCCGCGUGUGUGAAGAAGGUCUUCGGAUUGUAAAGCACUUUAAGUUGGGAGGAAGGGCAGUAAGUUAAUACCUUGCUGUUUUGACGUUACCGACAGAAUAAGCACCGGCUAACUUCGUGCCAGCAGCCGCGGUAAUACGAAGGGUGCAAGCGUUAAUCGGAAUUACUGGGCGUAAAGCGCGCGUAGGUGGUUUUGUAAGUUGGAGGUGAAAUCCCCGGGCUCAACCUGGCAACUGCCUCCAAAACUGCAUGACUAGAGUACGGUAGAGGGUAGUGGAAUUUCCUGUGUAGCGGUGAAAUGCGUAGAUAUAGGAAGGAACACCAGUGGCGAAGGCGACUACCUGGACUGAUACUGACACUGAGGUGCGAAAGCGUGGGGAGCAAACAGGAUUAGAUACCCGGGUAGUCC